GUGGGGAAUAUUGGACAAUGGGCGAAAGCCUGAUCCAGCCAUGCCGCGUGUGUGAAGAAGGUCUUAGGAUUGUAAAGCUCUUUCACCGAUGAAGAUAAUGACGGUAGUCGGAGAAGAAGCCCCGGCUAACUUCGUGCCAGCAGCCGCGGUAAUACGAAGGGGGCUAGCGUUGUUCGGAAUUACUGGGCGUAAAGCGCAUGUAGGCGGAUAUUUAAGUCAGGGGUGAAAUCCCGCAGCUCAACUGCGGAACUGCCUUUGAUACUGGGUAUCUUGAGUAUGGAAGAGGUGAGUGGAAUUCCGAGUGUAGAGGUGAAAUUCGUAGAUAUUCGGAGGAACACCAGUGGCGAAGGCGGCUCACUGGUCCAUUACUGACGCUGAGGUGCGAAAGCGUGGGGAGCAAACAGGAUUAGAUACCCUUGUAGUCC
This 425-nucleotide ribosomal RNA is filed under the name uncultured bacterium. RNAcentral's name for it is "partial 16S ribosomal RNA". It matches the Rfam family "Bacterial small subunit ribosomal RNA", at positions 354 to 796 of the family's 1533-position model. The record is from RNAcentral.